AGCGAACGCUGGCGGCAGGCUUAACACAUGCAAGUCGAGCGGGCGUAGCAAUACGUCAGCGGCAGACGGGUGAGUAACGCGUGGGAACGUACCUUUUGGUUCGGAACAACACAGGGAAACUUGUGCUAAUACCGGAUAAGCCCUUACGGGGAAAGAUUUAUCGCCGAAAGAUCGGCCCGCGUCUGAUUAGCUAGUUGGUGAGGUAACGGCCCACCAAGGCGACGAUCAGUAGCUGGUCUGAGAGGAUGAUCAGCCACAUUGGGACUGAGACACGGCCCAAACUCCUACGGGAGGCAGCAGUGGGGAAUAUUGGACAAUGGGGGCAACCCUGAUCCAGCCAUGCCGCGUGAGUGAUGAAGGCCCUAGGGUUGUAAAGCUCUUUUGUGCGGGAAGAUAAUGACGGUACCGCAAGAAUAAGCCCCGGCUAACUUCGUGCCAGCCGCCGCAGUAA
This 451-nucleotide ribosomal RNA is filed under the name uncultured bacterium. Its description in RNAcentral is "partial 16S ribosomal RNA". It matches the Rfam family "Bacterial small subunit ribosomal RNA", at positions 29 to 523 of the family's 1533-position model. The record is from RNAcentral.